RNAcentral lists this ribosomal RNA (353 nucleotides) under uncultured bacterium. RNAcentral describes it as "bacterial SSU rRNA". It matches the Rfam family "Bacterial small subunit ribosomal RNA", at positions 71 to 423 of the family's 1533-position model. The record is from RNAcentral.
GAUUUUCAGCAAUGAGAAUCCUAGAGUGGCGUAAGGGUGCGUAACGAGUAUGCAAUCUACCCGCAACAGGAGGAUAGCUCCCCGAAAGGGGAAUUAACCCUCCAUGAGAUCACGAGAGGGCAUCUGAUAGUGAUUAAACUACAAGGGGUUGUGGAUGAGCAUGCUUCUGAUUAGCUAGUUGGCAGUGUAACGGACUACCAAGGCGAUGAUCAGUAGGGGAACUGAGAGGUUGAUCCCCCACACUGGCACUGAGAUACGGGCCAGACUCCUACGGGAGGCAGCAGUAGGGAAUAUUGGUCAAUGGGUGAGAGCCUGAACCAGCCAUGCCGCGUGCAGGAAGAAGGCCUUCUGGG